This 511-nucleotide ribosomal RNA is filed under the name Aspergillus cristatus. Its description in RNAcentral is "eukaryotic LSU rRNA". The stretch from base 131 to 284 matches the Rfam family "5.8S ribosomal RNA". Lineage: Eukaryota; Fungi; Ascomycota; Eurotiomycetes; Eurotiales; Aspergillaceae. The record is from RNAcentral.
CUCUGGGUCCAACCUCCCAUCCGUGUCUAUCUGUACCCUGUUGCUUCGGCGUGGCCACGGCCCGCCGGAGACUAACAUUUGAACGCUGUCUGAAGUUUGCAGUCUGAGUUUUUAGUUAAACAAUCGUUAAAACUUUCAACAACGGAUCUCUUGGUUCCGGCAUCGAUGAAGAACGCAGCGAAAUGCGAUAAUUAAUGUGAAUUGCAGAAUUCAGUGAAUCAUCGAGUCUUUGAACGCACAUUGCGCCCCCUGGUAUUCCGGGGGGCAUGCCUGUCCGAGCGUCAUUGCUGCCCUCAAGCACGGCUUGUGUGUUGGGCUUCCGUCCCUGGCAACGGGGACGGGCCCAAAAGGCAGUGGCGGCACCAUGUCUGGUCCUCGAGCGUAUGGGGCUUUGUCACCCGCUCCCGUAGGUCCAGCUGGCAGCUAGCCUCGCAACCAAUCUUUUUAACCAGGUUGACCUCGGAUCAGGUAGGGAUACCCGCUGAACUUAAGCAUAUCAAUAAGCGGAGGA